Molecule: long non-coding RNA, 326 nt
Filed under: Elaeis guineensis (African oil palm)
Lineage: Eukaryota; Viridiplantae; Streptophyta; Magnoliopsida; Arecales; Arecaceae
Description: long non-coding RNA (EGUI_LNC073710)
Source: RNAcentral
GUCCUUCUGGUUGAUGGUUGGAAAUAAGUUUUUGUUAGAAUGGAGCCAAACUUGGAGGUUUGAAGAGCUUCAAUGAAUCUUCCACUCCCUCUGUUACUUAUAAUUCGCAGAAACCAAUAAGGAUCUGUUUGGAUGUCUGGGGCCUGAAAUCCCAUGAGAUUCAUGAGUGGGGCCAAGACAACCAGCUAAAUUAGACUGGACUAGGACUAUUUUUAUAAGAACCCAAAGAAUCAUUGGGGCAGGCCGGCCCAAGUCCCAUUGGGAGAAAAAAAAUGACCUGCUGAGGUCUUUUUUUUUUUCCUCCUUAUUGGAUUCGGAUCAGCCCA